UGGGGAAUAUUGGACAAUGGGCGCAAGCCUGAUCCAGCAAUGCCGCGUGUGUGAAGAAGGCCUGCGGGUUGUAAAGCACUUUCAGUUGUGAAGAAAAGCGUUUGGCUAAUACCCGAGCGUCUUGACAUUAUCAACAGAAGAAGCACCGGCUAACUCCGUGCCAGCAGCCGCGGUAAUACGGAGGGUGCGAGCGUUAAUCGGAAUUACUGGGCGUAAAGCGUGCGUAGGCGGACUGUUAAGUCAGAUGUGAAAGCCCCGGGCUUAACCUGGGAACUGCAUUUGAUACUGGCAAUCUAGAGUGUAGUAGAGGGGGGUAGAAUUCCUAGUGUAGCGGUGAAAUGCGUAGAUAUUAGGAGGAAUACCAGUGGCGAAGGCGGCCCCCUGGACUAACACUGACGCUGAGGUACGAAAGCGUGGGGAGCAAACA
This 427-nucleotide ribosomal RNA is filed under the name uncultured bacterium. RNAcentral's name for it is "bacterial SSU rRNA". It matches the Rfam family "Bacterial small subunit ribosomal RNA", at positions 355 to 774 of the family's 1533-position model. The record is from RNAcentral.